GACGAACGCUGGCGGCGUGCCUAACACAUGCAAGUCGAACGGAAAGGCCCUGCUUUUGUGGGGUGUUCGAGUGGCGAACGGGUGAGUAACACGUGUGUAACCUGCCCCUUACUUUGGGAUAACUUCUGGAAACUGGGGUUAAUACCGGGUAUGAGCUCCUUCUGCACGGUGGGGGGUGGAAAGUUUCGGCGGUUGGGGAUGGACUCGCGGCUUAUCAGCUUGUUGGUGGGGUAGUGGCUUACCAAGGCUUUGACGGGUAGCUGGCCUGAGAGGGUGACCGGCCACAUUGGGACUGAGAUACGGCCCAGACUCCUACGGGAGGCAGCAGUGGGGAAUAUUGCACAAUGGGCGGAAGCCUGAUGCAGCAACGCCGCGUGCGGGAUGACGGCCUUCGGGUUGUAAACCGCUUUCGCCUGUGACGAAGCGUGAGUGACGGUAAUGGGGAAAGAAGCACCGGCUAACUACGU
This 467-nucleotide ribosomal RNA is filed under the name uncultured bacterium. Its description in RNAcentral is "partial 16S ribosomal RNA". It matches the Rfam family "Bacterial small subunit ribosomal RNA", at positions 28 to 506 of the family's 1533-position model. The record is from RNAcentral.